Anas platyrhynchos (mallard) is the source of this 2799-nucleotide non-coding RNA. Lineage: Eukaryota; Metazoa; Chordata; Aves; Anseriformes; Anatidae. The record is from RefSeq and is a predicted model, not a curated record.
UGCCCGCCCGUCCCUGUUUCAGCAUGUGGCCCUGGCGCAGUAGAUGUGUGCGCUGGCAGCACCUUUGUGGCUCAAGGCUGCUCGUGUGGGCUUGUUUUUUGGGAGGGUUUCCGCCGUUAAUCGGUGUUUUCUUCUUUGUAUGCCUCACACAAGGAGUCCCUCCUGCUCUGCUGUGCCCGCUCUGUCACCCGCUUCUGGCUGCCGAAGCUCAUUUUUGGGGUCUGAAGGGCGCUGCCCUGCCCACAUGGCUCCUGGCAUGAGAGCCAUCGCUGCCCGCACGCCCUUGUCCCCAAGGCUUCGGGACAGCAGAGCCGUCCAGAGGUAAGAUUUUGGUGGAGGAGGGCAAUAGGCAGCUGCAGAGACCCCAAAGGCUCCAAAAACGAGGAGGAGGCUGAAGGAGGAAGGCAGCUUCAUGGGAGGCGGUGGGCGAGCAUCAGUCAUGGGCGUGGAAUAUUUCUGGCUCUGGGAACUCAGAUAACGAUCUCUGCUGUUCUCUCGUGACAUUUUUUCCACUUCCCAGUAAGGGAAGUUCCACACGCUGCCUUGCCGCGUGUUCCUCCUUGUUCUGUGGAUGUCGCUGUGCCGAUGCACGUUUGACAUGCUUCCUUCCCUGUUCCCGGGCCUGUUGCUCCUAGGAAGGAUUGUGCAAGGCUGCACGCUGCGGACGUGGGCUGUGACUGCUGAGUUUUCACAGGGGCCUUCGGAGAAUUUGUCUCUGCUGAAACGUGCCAACCUUAGCGAGUGUAAAAGUGAACAUGGGAAAAUCCCGGGCCUUAUCAAAGCUGCCUGCUGGCAGCACAUUGCUGAGCAUGAAUUGUGAGACUCGACACAUCCUCUGGUACUUCUUGGUAGAAAUUGGUUUCCUUUCCUGAAGUCUGCUGCGCUUGCCUCUCUGAGAUGUGCAAGCCGUCACAUAGAUACUAACUUUCACUUCCCUGGUUCCUUUUUAAGCUUUGUAGGACUAAAUUUCCUUUGCCAGCAAAAAUUCUGGUUGUUUAGUCAGAGCUGACUAAAACUCCAUGCUUGUGUAACAGAAGUCCUGGCAGGGCUGUUGGUGUAAUUGCUGGGUAUCUUUCCACAGCCUCAGUCAUCAGCAAAAAUAUUCCUGCUUGAUGCGAUAGCCCCUGGGAGCACACGAUACGAGAUAGUGUUUUGGGAGGUACCUGCUUGAAUUCCUUGCAGAUUUGAGUGUCCUCCCUGCUUGGUUGCUGCCCCAUACUUGAAGCUGUCAGUGUGGCAGCAGGCACGUCAGAGCCAUGUGUUCAGAUUUCCUCCUGCCCUGCAGCGGGAACAGUCCCACGGCACAAAGCUCUGUGCUCUGUCCUGGGGGUCAGCUGCAGCCCAUCUCACAAUAUCCUGGAUGACACACUAUGUGGUUGUGUUUGCUCAUCUCCCAAGUCCAGCUUUUCCUCCUCCCCAAGCUGCCCCUGCUUACAGGGCCGUGUCCUCCUCCUGGAAGAGGAGAUCUCACCAAGGGGAGUCUCGCUUCGCGCCUCUUUUCUGCAGGAAUGGUUAAAGUGGACCUGGAAAGGAAAAGUUUGGGGGAAAAGCCCAAGAUUUCUUUCAGGUUAUUUGCAGGACUGUGCACACAGAUGUGGCUGUGACGGACAAUGGCGUGGUCCCAGGGCCGGGAAGGCAGGCUGGCUCCUGUCCACUGUCAGAGCAGGAACGCUCACCGGGAUCAGAACUUCCCUAGGAGGGAAAACAGGGUCCGGUGACACGCAGAGGGAUUUUGUAGUGGACGGAUGUGAGUUGAGGGGUAUAAAAGCCCGGAGGUGUAUUGUGCUUGUUGCAAGAGGAAGUUAACAGGAAAGUCAGCACUGUUUGUAGCCACAAUACAGGCAGCCGUCUUCGAAAGCAUUUUUGUGGUUGCUGCUUUACCUGGAAAGAGGUGUAGAGGGAUCACAGCGCACAAACGUGGGCCUCAUGCAAGGGGUUAGGGAGGAGAACACUGCUUCUGUCCACCUUGUGCUGCUGAGGCUGUCCCUGCCUGACAGGGGCCAGCCUUUGCACGUGCACCCCAUCCCAUCUGCUCUUGUUCCUUCCUGCCUGCUGCUGCCCACCUCGGUGGGGUGUCCAGAGCUGGAAACUGAUGAGAGCUGGGCUGCCCUGCUGCGCCAGGAGUGCCUCUUUGAUCAGCUACCCUGCGUGAUGAAACAAGGGCAAUAAGGAAGGGGAGUGAUCCAGCCCACAGCGCAGAGCCCUCCCUGACGUCCUCAACGGCCUUGGAUGCUGAGGUGAACCAGAGGUUUACUGAUAAAUCGCUGUCCUGAGCACAGGGGGGCAGUUACUACAGGAAGCUCCAUCCCAGCCUCCAGCCCGGUUCCUACCCCCACCUGGCUGUGUGCCGUCUUCAGAUUUUAUGUUUGCAAGCUCAGAGCAGUGCCCCUUGUCAGUUCAUAUGGAACCAGCUCCACAGCCAGCUCGGGACAGUGCUGCAAGGAGGGUCUCCUGCCAGCAGAGUCCCCACGCAGGUACAGUCCUAACACAACACAACAAGACCUCGUGGCCUCAGCUUACAACCCCCUAUCUUCCCAAAGGCAGCUGGGAAGGCUGCUUCACCCGAGAGAUGUCUUUGCUUUGAGGGUCGGCAUGUAAAGGUGGGACAGGGAGGCUACGAGGUCUCGUGGGGCAGCACAGGAGUGGUGGAGCGGGCUGAGAACCAGCUCUAGCAGAGUUUGGAUCCAUAACGGGCUGAUGGGGGCAUGGCACACGCGCUUUGUAGUCCGGGCAUUGCUUCCUCAUUAAGAAUAUAUUGUACUCUCCAUAAAAUAAUAAAAAAAUUUUAAAAAAGUGCAA